GGGUGAGUAAUAUAUCGGAACGUGCCCAGUCGUGGGGGAUAACGCAGCGAAAGCUGUGCUAAUACCGCAUACGAUCUCUGGAUGAAAGCGGGGACUCGCAAGAGCCUCGCGCGAUUGGAGCGGCCGAUAUCAGAUUAGCUAGUGGGCGGGGUAAAAGCCCACCAAGGCGACGAUCUGCAGCUGGUCUGAGAGGACGACCAGCCACACUGGAACUGAGACACGGUCCAGACUCCUACGGGAGGCAGCAGUGGGGAAUUUUGGACAAUGGGCGAAAGCCUGAUCCAGCAAUGCCGCGUGCAGGAUGAAGGCCUUCGGGUUGUAAACUGCUUUUGUACGGAACGAAACGGUCUGCCUUAAUACGGUGGGCUAAUGACGGUACCGUAAGAAUAAGCACCGGCUAACUACGUGCCAGCAGCCGCGGUAAUACGUAGGGUGCGAGCGUUAAUCGGAAUUACUGGGCGUAAAGCGUGCGCAGGCGGUUAUAUAAGACAGAUGUGAAAUCCCCGGGCUCAACCUGGGACCUGCAUUUGUGACUGUAUAGCUAGAGUACGGUAGAGGGGGAUGGAAUUCCGCGUGUAGCAGUGAAAUGCGUAGAUAUGCGGAGGAACACCGAUGGCGAAGGCAAUCCCCUGGACCUGUACUGACGC
This 647-nucleotide ribosomal RNA is filed under the name uncultured bacterium. RNAcentral's name for it is "bacterial SSU rRNA". It matches the Rfam family "Bacterial small subunit ribosomal RNA", at positions 104 to 746 of the family's 1533-position model. The record is from RNAcentral.